This 24-nucleotide non-coding RNA is filed under the name Cricetulus griseus (Chinese hamster). Lineage: Eukaryota; Metazoa; Chordata; Mammalia; Rodentia; Cricetidae. The record is from RNAcentral.
GUUGGACUCUGUAGGUUGAGCUCA